AGGAUGUCGCUGAUUGACAGAUUUCCUGAAGUCCCCUGGAAUGGGGUGCCGUAGAGGGUGAGAGCCCCGUGCAGGAAGACUGGAUGGUCAUUAUGCGGCUCCUUCGGCGAGUCGAGUAGUUUGGGAAUGCUGCUCUAAAUGGGAGGUAAAUUCCUUCUAAGGCUAAAUAUCGGCCGGAGACCGAUAGCGCACAAGUAGAGUGAUCGAAAGAUGAAAAGCACUUUGAAAAGAGGGUUAAACAGUACGUGAAAUUGUUGAAAGGGAAGCGCCCGCGACCAGACUUGUAUUCGAGUGAUCCCCUAGCGUUCGUCGGUAGGAAUACUCAUUCGGCAUAUCAGGCCAGCAUCGGUUGGUGGUCAGGGGAUAAGUGCAGUGGGAACGUAGCUUUUUCUCCGGAGAAAGUGUUAUAGCCCGUUGUAGAGUACCUUGACACUGAUCGAGGCCCGCGCAUUUGCACGGAUGCUGGCAUAAUGGUCGCUGGCGACCCGUCUUGAAACACGGACCAAGGAGUCGAGGUUUUCCGCGAGUGUGCGGGUGGUAAACCCGCCCGCGAAAUGAAAGUGAACGCAGGUGAGAGCCUUCAGUGGCGCACCACCGACCGAUCUCGCAGUUCUCUGCAGGAAUCGAGUACGAGCGGAAAGCCUCGGACCCGAAAGAUGACGAACUAUGCCUGCAUAGAAUGAAGCCAGAGGAAACUCUGGUGGAGGUUCGCAGCGGUUCUGACGUGCAAAUCGAUCGUCAAAUGUGGGCAUGGGGGCGAAAGACUAAUCGAGUCAUCUAGUAGCUGGUUACCGCCGAAGUUUCCCUCAGGAUAGCAGUGUUGUGCCUUCAGUUUUAUGAGGUAAAGCGAAUGAUUAGGGACCCGGGGGCGGCUUUGCGCCUUCAUCCAUUCUCAAACUUUAAAUAUGUAAGAAGUUCUCGUUACUUUGUUGAACGGGAGCAUUCGAAUGAAGCAACACUAGUGGGCCAUUUUUGGUAAGCAGAACUGGCGAUGCGGGAUGAACCGAACGCGGGGUUAAGGUGCCGGAGUGGACGCUCAUCAGACACCACAAAAGGCGUUAGUACAUCUGGACAGCAGGACGGUGGCCAUGGAAGUCGGAAUCCGCUAAGGACUGUGUAACAACUCACCUGCCGAAUGUACUAGCCCUGAAAAUGGAUGGCGCUCAAGCGUCCCACCCAUACCCCGCCCCCAAGGCAGCACCGAUGCCUUGGGGAGUAGGCGGCCGUGGAGGUCAGUGACGAAGCCUUGGGCGUGAGCCCGGGUUGAACGGCC
This 1273-nucleotide ribosomal RNA is filed under the name Irenopsis vincensii. RNAcentral's name for it is "eukaryotic LSU rRNA". It matches the Rfam family "Eukaryotic large subunit ribosomal RNA", at positions 156 to 1437 of the family's 3401-position model. Lineage: Eukaryota; Fungi; Ascomycota; Sordariomycetes; Meliolales; Meliolaceae. The record is from RNAcentral.